CACUUUCCUAUUUUUGAGCAUUUGGAAACGUUUUAUAAGACCAAGAGCUGCAUUUAUUUGUCGCUUGCUCUGUUCCAAGUGUUACGAUGAUUUUCCCCCCUCUUCAUACAUGAUCUCAUUGAAUUUCCUUCUCACAGUGAUCCAAUGAGGAGGAAUUCAUUAUACCCACCUUACAGAGGGAAUACCUGGACAUGGGAGGAGUGAAGUACCAAAGGUCACGGUGCUGGUAAGUGACAAAGCUGGGAUUCAAACCAGGUCAUGUCUAAUGUCAAGGUGUGGGUCCUGCAAGCAUGACUCUAGACCCCUCCCCUGGUGUGUGUGAGGAAGGCACAUGACUCCUUGGGCACUACGGGGUUGCAGAAACACACAUCCGCAAGGUGAGUGAGUGGGAUGGCAACCAAAGCCCAGACGCGAAGGAGGGAAUGCUUUUCAGGUCCGCAGCUGCAGAGACAUCGUGAUGGACUAGACCAAAGCAGAGCGUCUCAAAGAGUGUGUUUCAAGAGAGGCAUUUCAGAAGUGAGAGCCAAGGGCCCUGGAUUAGAUGAAACUUACAUGGUCACCCUAUGAUAACAGGCAGCCAGAGCAGCAGAGGAAAACCAGGAGGAGCCAAUAUCAUGACGGACAUUGGAUUUCAUGACAUGAGGUCCCUGGAGACUUCAGCAGCAGAUGUUUGAGUUGUGAGCAUGCAACCCGGGUUUCAGAGGGUGAGGUGAGUGAGAAGCAAAGUAAAUUAUUUUAGUAUUGUUAUUUUCUACAGGCUUAAUGAAAAAUGAAGGGAGAAAGCGGAUUUUCAGAGUAUGGGGAACAGUGAGAGAAUUUUUCUCUGAAGAUGUCGAGCACUAGACUAUGUAUAAUUGUGGAGGCCUCAGCAUCUCAAAAAUUAAAACCAAAAUGAAGGUGCAGCAGUUGAUUGGUAAGGAAUAAUAACCUCUCAGAUCUCUGAAAUUCCCAGGCAUUCACUGGGGUCUGUCUGGUGAUCUGAGCUCUGUCUGAUGACCUGGUGGGCUUUCUGGUCUGGAAAUCCACGUGACCUGGCACCAGAGGUGUUUCUGGGUAUUGUCAGCUACCAUCCUUCCCACCCUCCUUGGAAUGGCUGCUUCCUUCCAAGGUUCUGGAGAUGCUUUGGCUUCUGAGCUGACAGGGGAGCAGCAGGACUCUGCAAAAGGGGAUUACAUGAUGU
Molecule: long non-coding RNA, 1180 nt
Filed under: Bos indicus x Bos taurus (hybrid cattle)
Lineage: Eukaryota; Metazoa; Chordata; Mammalia; Artiodactyla; Bovidae
Description: lncRNA (ENSBIXG00000000708.1)
Source: RNAcentral